UACAGAGGUCCCAAGCGUUGUUCGGAUUCACUGGGCGUAAAGGGUGCGUAGGCGGUCGGGUAAGUCUGACGUGAAAGCCCGCAGCUUAACUGCGGAACGGCGUCGGAUACUAUUCGGCUUGAGGGUGGGAAGGGGGACUGGAAUUCUCGGUGUAGCAGUGAAAUGCGUAGAUAUCGAGAGGAACACCAGUGGCGAAGGCGAGUCCCUGGACCACUCCUGACGCUGAGGCACGAAAGCUAGGGGAGCAAAC
This 250-nucleotide ribosomal RNA is filed under the name uncultured bacterium. RNAcentral's name for it is "partial 16S ribosomal RNA". It matches the Rfam family "Bacterial small subunit ribosomal RNA", at positions 524 to 773 of the family's 1533-position model. The record is from RNAcentral.